UUUAAAUAGUUUAAAUAAAAUAAUGAUUUGUGGGGCCCACGAUGGGAUAAAAUACUCCUUUAAAAU
This 66-nucleotide transfer RNA is filed under the name Spilarctia subcarnea. RNAcentral's name for it is "tRNA-His". Lineage: Eukaryota; Metazoa; Arthropoda; Insecta; Lepidoptera; Erebidae. The record is from RNAcentral.